RNAcentral lists this non-coding RNA (24 nucleotides) under Rattus norvegicus (Norway rat). Lineage: Eukaryota; Metazoa; Chordata; Mammalia; Rodentia; Muridae. The record is from RNAcentral.
ACUUUGUCCUUGGAAUUGUGCUGC